Long non-coding RNA from Bos taurus (domestic cattle), 679 nucleotides. The record is from Ensembl. NCBI's taxonomy places the organism in Eukaryota, Metazoa, Chordata, Mammalia, Artiodactyla, Bovidae.
GGUUUUUCAUCUGAAAAGAUCCGAGUCUAGAGCAUGUUCCUGGCCAUCAAAUGCUGCCCUUUUUUGGAAGGAGAGGAUGAAACCAAUUUUCAGAGUCGGCAAAGAGGAGAACCUGGCAGUCCCGGUGGAGAUCCAGCCCUGAACCCAGCCAGCUCUGAGGCCCGGCCUUUCCUCCACUGGGCUCCAGGAGCUAAUAGAGCCCCUUUUUGGAUGAAGCAAGUUCAAGCUGAGUUUCCAUCACUUGCAACUUAAGGAGUUCUGAGGGGUGUCAUAUUGCCAUCCCAAUUUUACUGAGAGAGGAACUGAUGCUCAGAGAAGUUAGCUAAGUCCUGUGUGAUCACAAGAACACUUUAGAGCACAAGCUUUGGAACCUGAGUCUGCGUGGACUCCAUAGCCAGCGUUCUUUUCUUUAUACCAUUUGCCUCUCAACUAGUCCCACAACCGGGGCGCUCAAGAGAAGAGGCUGGACCGUGGGAGGACCACGAGAUCACGGCAGAUGUUAGUGGUCUGUGAGCAAAUGUGAGACACCAACUGGGAAACCAGGAACAAGAAGGACAGGCAGCUAGUGUGGUGAAAAAUAGUCAUUGCUAUCGGUUACUCAGUCGUCAUGUACACAGCCCUGUCCUAAGCUCUUAAUUAUGCUAACCCAUGUAAUCCCCACCUCCACCCUAUACAACAG